RNAcentral lists this ribosomal RNA (557 nucleotides) under bacterium het-w-18. RNAcentral describes it as "bacterial SSU rRNA". It matches the Rfam family "Bacterial small subunit ribosomal RNA", at positions 52 to 610 of the family's 1533-position model. The record is from RNAcentral.
CACAUGCAGCCGAGCGGUAGAGUUCCUUCGGGAACUUGAGAGCGGCGUACGGGUGCGUAACACGUGUGCAACCUACCUUUAUCUGGGGGAUAGCCUUUCGAAAGGAAGAUUAAUACCCCAUAAUAUAUUGAAUGGCAUCAUUUAAUAUUGAAAACUCCGGUGGAUAGAGAUGGGCACGCGCAAGAUUAGAUAGUUGGUGGGGUAACGGCUCACCAAGUCUGUGAUCUUUAGGGGUCCUGAGAGGGAGAUCCCCCACACUGGUACUGAGACACGGACCAGACUCCUACGGGAGGCAGCAGUGAGGAAUAUUGGACAAUGGGUGAGAGCCUGAUCCAGCCAUCCCGCGUGAAGGAUGACGGUCCUAUGGAUUGUAAACUUCUUUUGUACAGGAAUAAACCUAUUUACGUGUAAAUAGCUGAAGGUACUGUACGAAUAAGCACCGGCUAACUCCGUGCCAGCAGCCGCGGUAAUACGGAGGGUGCAAGCGUUAUCCGGAUUUAUUGGGUUUAAAGGGUCCGUAGGCGGGCCUGUAAGUCAGUGGUGAAAUCUCACAGCUU